AUUGAUUUUAUGCUUGCAUAAAUGAUUUUUGGAUUCGGAGCGAGUGGCGAACUGGUGAGUAACACGUGGGUAACCUGCCCCGAAGCGGGGGAUAACAUUUGGAAACAAGUGCUAAUACCGCAUAAUUAGUUGGAACCGCAUGGUUCCAACUUGAAAGAUGGCUCUGCCAUCACUUUGGGAUGGACCCGCGCCGUAUUAGUUAGUUGGUGAGAUAAAAGCCCACCAAGACGAUGAUACGUAGCCGACCUGAGAGGGUAAUCGGCCACAUUGGGACUGAGACACGGCCCAGACUCCUACGGGAGGCAGCAGUAGGGAAUCUUCCACAAUGGACGAAAGUCUGAUGGAGCAACGCCGCGUGAGUGAUGAAGGUUUUCGGAUCGUAAAACUCUGUUGUUAAAGAAGAACAAGUGUUAGAGUAACUGUUAACACUUUGACGGUAUUUAACCAGAAAGCCACGGCUAACUACGUGCCAGCAGCCGCGGUAAUACGUAGGUGGCAAGCGUUGUCCGGAUUUAUUGGGCGUAAAGCGAGCGCAGGCGGUUUUGUAAGUCUGCUGUGAAAGCCCUCAGCUCAACUGAGGAAGUGCAGUGGAAACUACAAAACUUGAGUACAGAAGAGGAAAGUGGAACUCCAUGUGUAGCGGUGAAAUGCGUAGAUAUAUGGAAGAACACCAGUGGCGAAGGCGGCUUUCUGGUCUGUUACUGACGCUGGGGCUCGAAAGCAUGGGUAGCGAACAGGAUUAGAUACCCUGGUAGUCCAUGCCGUAAACGAUGAAUACUAGGUGUUGGAGGGUUUCCGCCCUUCAGUGCCGCAGCUAACGCAUUAAGUAUUCCGCCUGGGGAGUACGACCGCAAGGUUGAAACUCAAAGGAAUUGACGGGGGCCCGCACAAGUGGUGGAGCAUGUGGUUUAAUUCGAUGCUACGCGAAGAACCUUACCAGCUCUUGACAUCUUCUGCCAACCCAGGAGAUUGGGCGUUCCCUUCGGGGACAGAGUGACAGGUGGUGCAUGGUUGUCGUCAGCUCGUGUCGUGAGAUGUUGGGUUAAGUCCCGCAACGAGCGCAACCCUUAUUAUUAGUUGCCAGCAUUUAGUUGGGCACUCUAGUGAGACUGCCGGUGAUAAA
This 1123-nucleotide ribosomal RNA is filed under the name uncultured bacterium. RNAcentral's name for it is "bacterial SSU rRNA". It matches the Rfam family "Bacterial small subunit ribosomal RNA", at positions 47 to 1162 of the family's 1533-position model. The record is from RNAcentral.